CCUACGGGUGGCAGCAGUGAGGAAUAUUGGUCAAUGGGCGAGAGCCUGAACCAGCCAAGUCGCGUGAAGGAUGACUGCCCUAUGGGUUGUAAACUUCUUUUACAGGGGAGUAAAACGUUGCACGUGUGGGGUUUUGUGAGUACCAUAUGAAUAAGCAUCGGCUAACUCCGUGCCAGCAGCCGCGGUAAUACGGAGGAUGCGAGCGUUAUCCGGAUUUAUUGGGUUUAAAGGGAGCGUAGGUGGAAUGUUUAGUCAGUGGUGAAAGUUUGCGGCUCAACCGUGAACUUGCAGUUGAAACGGGCUGUCUUGAGUACAGUAGAGGUACGCGGAAUUCGUGGUGUAGCGGUGAAAUGCUUAGAUAUCACGAAGAACUCCGAUUGCGAAGGCAGUUCACUGGACUGCAACUGACACUGAGGCUCGAAAGUGUGGGUAUCAAACAGGAUUAGAUACCCUAGUAGUC
RNAcentral lists this ribosomal RNA (460 nucleotides) under uncultured bacterium. RNAcentral's name for it is "partial 16S ribosomal RNA". It matches the Rfam family "Bacterial small subunit ribosomal RNA", at positions 338 to 795 of the family's 1533-position model. The record is from RNAcentral.